UCCAUAAUUUCUAUUUUGUUUGCUUAGGCAGCGCAAAGAAGAGGCUGUGCAAUUCUUUUUGCAUGGUCGAAGGACAUAUGUAACCACUUCUGGUUUUGCGCGAAGUCUGCUGCAACAUAUGAUGAGUUCUUUGUAAGUCUGCUGUUCUAUUAUUAUUAUUAUUAUUAUUGCAAAUUUGUACUGACUGCUAUGUUGCAUUACUUAGACUGUAUUACAUGGUUCUGUUUCUGUAGGAAAUGUGGACAGGGGUUCUUCACCAUGUCACUGGAGAACAUGAAUGGGUUCUCGGCGCAUGUCAUCAUGGUCCGUUGUUAGAAGACAGAGACAAAGCUUGGAUUACCAAAGGAUCAGUGGCACAUGAAGCACUGAUUGCCAUCGUUCUGAAUGUGAGGUGGCUAAAAGAGGUUGAGAAGUUUCUCUGUUUUAGAUCCACUGCUGAGCUGGAAUCUUUUCACAAUCACAUUCUUAUGUAUGCUGGAAAAAGAUUCUACUUUGUUUGGCCAGUCUACAGAGCACGGACGCACCUGGCUGGUUUGGAUUACAAUCACCAUGUUCACAGACCACUCAAAAGAAAUGCUGACGGCUCAUUGGAGUACAAGUUUCUUUUUAAUAAGAAGUCACGCCGGUGGAGUAUGUACCCUGUGAAAGAGGAAAAGGAUUAUGGGUACAUUCCAGAUCUCCAGAGAGCCAUCCUCUUGUGCCGGGUUUCUUCAGGGAAAGGCAUGCCAGCGAAGAGGAGACUGAGACCAGAUGACCCACGGCGGUUAGGACUUCUCCCUGGAGUUCCACGUCCAACCAACGAGGAGUUGUUACAAACCCAACUCAGCCGCGGCCUUGGUA
RNAcentral lists this long non-coding RNA (840 nucleotides) under Neogobius melanostomus (round goby). Its description in RNAcentral is "lncRNA (ENSNMLG00000001967.1)". Lineage: Eukaryota; Metazoa; Chordata; Actinopteri; Gobiiformes; Gobiidae. The record is from RNAcentral.